RNAcentral lists this transfer RNA (74 nucleotides) under Fusarium acuminatum CS5907. RNAcentral describes it as "tRNA-Val". Lineage: Eukaryota; Fungi; Ascomycota; Sordariomycetes; Hypocreales; Nectriaceae. The record is from RNAcentral.
UGAUCCCGCCCGGGCUCGAACCGGGGACCUUCUCCGUGUAAAGGAGAUGCCAUAACCAACUAGGCCACAAGACC